RNAcentral lists this ribosomal RNA (447 nucleotides) under uncultured Bacilli bacterium. RNAcentral's name for it is "bacterial SSU rRNA". It matches the Rfam family "Bacterial small subunit ribosomal RNA", at positions 106 to 539 of the family's 1533-position model. Lineage: Bacteria; Bacillati; Bacillota; Bacilli. The record is from RNAcentral.
GUGAGUAACACGUGGGUAACCUGCCCUUAAGUGGGGGAUAACAUUUGGAAACAGAUGCUAAUACCGCAUAAAUCCAAGAACCGCAUGGUUCUUGGCUGACAGAUGGCGUAAGCUAUCGCUUUUGGAUGGACCCGCGGCGUAUUAGCUAGUUGGUGAGGUAACGGCUCACCAAGGCAAUGAUACGUAGCCGAACUGAGAGGUUGAUCGGCCACAUUGGGACUGAGACACGGCCCAAACUCCUACGGGAGGCAGCAGUAGGGAAUCUUCCACAAUGGACGCAAGUCUGAUGGAGCAACGCCGCGUGAGUGAAGAAGGCUUUCGGGUCGUAAAACUCUGUCGUAGGAGAAGAAUGGUCGGCAGAGUAACUGUUGUCGGCGUGACGGUAUCCAACCAGAAAGCCACGGCUAACUACGUGCCAGCAGCCGCGGUAAUACGUAGGUGGCAAGC